ACUGACCAAUUAUACGGCUAAGAUGUGAGGCAUAAAGUGUGUUAAAAAUGAAAACAUAUGGUAUUUAACUCUUACAGACACCACUAAUGUAUAAAUUAAGAUUAAAUAUAAUUUAAGAUAUUUUAUUUUUGUUAAGUGUCCUCUCUGUUUCCUGGAGACAAAUGAUGGCAUAAGAGAGAAUAGAGUGUUGGCAAUUUCUUUCUCUUGGUUGGAGAGGUGCUGAACUGACAGGAAUGAACUGACUCUCUCUUCUCCCCAGAGAAAGAAUAUGUUCCUGAAAGGCAGAGAAAGCUGCAAGUAAGUGGGACACAAUGUUGCUGUGUAAAGAAGUGGCUGUAGGCUUUCUGGGGUCCCACCUUAUUUUGGACACCAGCGCUGAUGAUGGUGAUCCAUCAGCACAUGGUGAAACUACAGAAUCCCCAGAGACCUGCUGCUGCUGUGCUGGAGAACAUCAGAAAGGCCAGAAGCCACACCUUGGUUCUGUAGAGUGGGACUGAAAAUAGGAUUAGGCAUAACAAAGAGAAACAUGACACCGUCCUUAAAUAAAUAAACUUUUGAAAUAGAGGAGUGUUUGGUAUGAUUGUUUUUUUGCAAAAACAGAUUACUCAGUUUUUAAAAAAAAAAUCAAAAAUCAUGUUUUUUUAUUAUGCUAUCAUAUUUUUAUGAGGUGCGAAACAGGAAAUAAUUAUAUAAAAAUCUGUAUAUAUAUAAAUGUAAACUGUGAAUAUAUUGUUAUGUCUGAUUAUAUAGAAGUAAAUCUUAAUGUAUACAUAUAAGUCUGAAUAUAUAAAUGUAAAUCUGAAUAUAUAGUUAUAAGUCUGAAUAUAUAGAAGUAAAUUUUAAUAUAUAGUUAUAACUG
Long non-coding RNA from Cyprinus carpio carpio, 859 nucleotides. NCBI's taxonomy places the organism in Eukaryota, Metazoa, Chordata, Actinopteri, Cypriniformes, Cyprinidae. The record is from Ensembl.